Daktulosphaira vitifoliae (grape phylloxera) is the source of this 1057-nucleotide long non-coding RNA. RefSeq lists it as uncharacterized. The record is from RefSeq and is a predicted model, not a curated record. NCBI's taxonomy places the organism in Eukaryota, Metazoa, Arthropoda, Insecta, Hemiptera, Phylloxeridae. The transcript has 3 exons.
UUGGGUGUCAAAAUAGCCCUUUAUGUUCAAUGGCCCUAUUGCAGGCUGAUUCUUUGGUUUCCAUUAAUUUCGUCAUUGGUAAAAUUAACAUUAAAUAAAAAAUAGUUCAAAAUAUCUAUAAUUAAUUACUCAUAUUAUUAUUAAGAUAGCAAAACAAACAAAAAAAACGAUUUAUUUAUUAAUUUAAAUUCAUUGCACUGUGUUAAAUUAAGAGUAUUUAAUAACGACGCACAAAAAUAGUUACCAUAAAUGUCAACUAUAUUUAAAAUAUGCAAAAAGGCUUUUUUUAUUCAAAUUGGUGACAUCAGUCAGUUCAAAUAAAUGAAAUCAUAUUGUAUUUUGAAAAAUUGUAAUUGAAAACAACGACCAGUUUAUGUGAAAUAAAUAUCAAAAUAGAAGUUAAAAUUUUUCAGAAGAAAUAUAUUGUUACAAAGGCAUUGGGUAAAAAAAGUCCCCAAAAACGUAUGAGCAAAAUUAAAGUAAGCAACAGUGGCUUAUUGAUGUGUAUGAAUAUGUUUCAACAUAAAAUUAAUUUUGUGGAUAUUGGGGAGUGGGAAUUGUCAAAAAUUAAAAACAACGAGGUUCUCUUGAAUUUACAAGAAAAUAUCGAAAACACAGCAAAAUACAUGAUAAAGAUCAAUUUAAAAAUAUUCAAAUCUGUAUUGUGAUUGUGUACGAGUAAUGCUGAGUAUUUCAGCUUUUCCAUUUAUGUUUUGAAUAUAUUAUAAUUUUAUAUACAUUAUUUUUUAACAAAGCAACUUAAAAAGUCGUAUGAAUUAAUUAAUUAUCCCCCUUGUUAACGAUUCAAUGAUAAAAUAAAUGUCAAAUGGAAAUAGUAUUUAAACAUAAAUCGAUUAUGAAGAUUUAAUACAAUAUUGCAAAAACUUUUAUAACAUUUUUAUUAAUACAGUGACAAAAGAUAGACCUUAUGUUUAUAUUUUACAACCCCACGGGUAUAUUUGUUUUAUUGGACUAUGAAUAAUAUAAAAAAGUUAUCAAUAAUAUAGUCAUUUAAUAUACAAUUGAGAACAUUAUAGUCACAUUAUAUUUUUUUAAU